Triticum aestivum (bread wheat) is the source of this 1151-nucleotide long non-coding RNA. RefSeq lists it as uncharacterized. NCBI's taxonomy places the organism in Eukaryota, Viridiplantae, Streptophyta, Magnoliopsida, Poales, Poaceae. The transcript is spliced from 3 exons. The record is from RefSeq and is a predicted model, not a curated record.
GGGCAUCUUUCACACGUUGUCUACAAUUUGUAGAGAAGAGAAUGGUAGAGGAUUGUAUAAAGGCCUUUGGUCCACCUUAUUGGGAGUUGGACCUGAUAUAUCAAUCAACGUUUAUGUAUAUGAAUCCCUGAGGUCUCAUUGGAAAAUGGAAAGUUGAAUGUCAAACUGUGCGACCAAUGAUUUGAUAUGGUUAAUUCCAGUUGGGUGUGUUAACCUACAGUAAUCAAUCAAGUCAACAAAUAUAACAAUGAUACUUUGUCUUCUGAUUUUUGGUGAUGAUUUUUUUUGUGACUGAACUAACAGGAGUUGAAGCAUGUGUUCUUAUUUUUUUAUAUGACUAGAUGCAUAUGAACUGAAGCUCCAUAAUUUUCUUUUCAAGUCGACAUUGGUGGCAACCAAUACAAUUAGCAUUAUUUACAACCAAUGAAGUCUUAUAAUUUUCUUUCUUAGAAAUAUAAAGUGACGCUGACUAUCAUUUAGUAGCUCUACAGGCACUAGCCAAAAACAAUAAUGUUUAUUUAUUUAACCACCAAAUAGAACAAUAGGUUAUUCUGCAUUAUGGGUACACAAAUCACAACACUAUAUUUCAGCUGUAGAAAUCUGUGUGGAUGCCUGCUGAUAUUUUAAGCCUACAUAUUGCCGAUUUGGUUUGAGUAAUGCUUGAAGCAUAAUUUACUCCCUAAUGUGCAAAUAGCAGUAUCAUUUUUUGUCAAGAAACUGAGAAGACGGAAGAGAGUUGGUGUUGUCAGUGUGGUGAGCCUAUGCGGCAACCACAAGGCUGAAGUCUGCUUUGAUCGUUGUUCAAGAUUUGAGCCUUGGCUCCGGUUUUGAUAGCUCUAUAUCAGUGAGUUUAGUCCAGUAACUAUUUUAAGUAUCUUUACUGUGCAUAGUUGCAUACAUUUUAUUCAUGGAUUAGUCUUGGUAAUAUUAACAUUUGAAAAGCAAUUUUUGUGUGACCAUUUUUUCAUCUUAGUAUCUCCAUCUACCAGCAAAAGUCAACGUGCACAAACCUGUAUUUAACAUGCAACAUGAGAUAGUGUGCAUCGAAACUAUGCUUAUGUUUGUGACAUUCAUGUGGCAUCUCAUGCAGAUAGAUUUUAUUAUCCAUUUCUGUAGCAUGCAAUGUUUAUUUUCUUCUUUUGGUCCAUAAU